This 527-nucleotide ribosomal RNA is filed under the name uncultured Cytophagales bacterium. RNAcentral's name for it is "bacterial SSU rRNA". It matches the Rfam family "Bacterial small subunit ribosomal RNA", at positions 1 to 522 of the family's 1533-position model. Lineage: Bacteria; Pseudomonadati; Bacteroidota; Sphingobacteriia; Sphingobacteriales. The record is from RNAcentral.
AGUCGAGAGAAGAGUUUGAUCCAGUGCUCAGGAUGAACGCUAGCGGCAGGCCUAAUACAUGCAAGUCGAGGGGCAGCGCGGCAGCAAUGCUGGCGGCGACCGGCGGACGGGUGCGUAACGCGUAUGGAACUUGUCCGGUGCUCAGGAAUAGCCCCCGGAAACGGGGAUUAAUGCCCGAUGGCGCGAUAGUGUGGCAUCACACGGUCGCUAAAGCCCAGGCGGCACCGGGUGGCCAUGCGUUCGAUUAGCUAGUUGGCGGGGUAACGGCCCACCAAGGCGACGAUCGAUAGGGGUCCUGAGAGGGAGGUCCCCCACACUGGUACUGAGACACGGGCCAGACUCCUACGGGAGGCAGCAGUAGGGAAUAUUGGGCAAUGGGGGCAACCCUGACCCAGCCAUGCCGCGUGCAGGAGGAAGGCCCUCUGGGUUGUAAACUGCUUUUGGGAGGGGACAAAAAGGCCGUGCGCGGCUCAUUGAGUGUACCUCCAGAAUAAGCACCGGCUAACUCCGUGCCAGCCGCCGCGGUA